GACGAACGCUGGCGGCGUGCCUGACACAUGCAAGUCGGACGGUUCUUGCACCUUCAAGCUUGCUUGUUGGUUCAAGGAUAGUGGCGGACGGGUGAGUAACGCGUGAACACCUACCCAUUGGAGGGGUACAACCCGUCGAAAGGCGGGCUAAUACCGCGUAAGCCGUGAGGUGAAAGGCUGCUCUUUGGUGGCUGCCGAUGGAUGGGUUCGCGUCCUAUCAGCUGGUUGGUGGGGUAACGGCCUACCAAGGCUAAGACGGGUAGCCGGUCUGAGAGGAUGGCCGGCCACACUGGAACUGAGACACGGUCCAGACUCCUACGGGAGGCAGCAGUGGGGAAUCUUGGGCAAUGGGGGAGACCCUGACCCAGCGACGCCGCGUGAGGGAUGAAGGUUUUCGGAUCGUAAACCUCUGUUGUACGGGAAGAAGGACUUGACGGUACCGUACGAGGAAGCCCCGGCAAACUACGUGCCAGCAGCCGCGGUAAGAUCACGUGUA
RNAcentral lists this ribosomal RNA (496 nucleotides) under uncultured bacterium. Its description in RNAcentral is "bacterial SSU rRNA". It matches the Rfam family "Bacterial small subunit ribosomal RNA", at positions 28 to 531 of the family's 1533-position model. The record is from RNAcentral.